ACCAUGUGAUUACAUAUCUUUUGUUAACCGCCAACUGCUUUUGUUUGCAUUUUUUAAUUUAAUACAUUGUUUAAGAGUUAUUUUUGCUUUUUGUGUGGAUCAAACCAGUUGAUAUUUAUUUUCAAUCAUCAAAGUUAAUUAUUAUUUCAAUCUGUUCAUUCACAUUUUAGUUUAAUUGGCGAUUCAAAGGUUUGGCCACCAUGUAAAACAAGAGGAUAAAAGGAUUCACCAGGACUGAUUUCAACUUGGCUAACAACUUGUGACUACAUGUGUACAUGGAAAAGAGAGCCCCAUUCAAGCCUCAAUCAAUUUUUCAACACAAUCUAGGUACCAAUCAGUGGUUAUGAUUGAACUAUGAUUGAACAUUGAGUCAUUGGGAAGAUGUAUAACAUGGAAGAAAGAAUGAGUGUUUACACCAAGUCAAGGAAUUGGCUUACUUCAAUUUAACCAAUGGACACAUGUACAAUAUACAAUUUCAGAUAUAUCCGAUGUUGCUUGAUUUUCAUGAUCAAAUGAAAAUUCCUGUUGUACAACGUCAACUCAUUCCACACCUAAAACUAUCUCAGCGUGAAGCUAUUGAAAUCAACGACCGACAACAUGGUGAUGAUGAUAAUUAUCAUCAUCAACAACCACGGUUCGUCUCUAGAUAAUUGCACUAUUAGUUCAUGUUAUUUCAAGAUACAAAAUCUGAUAAAGUUCAAAGGAAGAAAAUUGGUUAAACAAAAUCCUGAACAUGAAGGUUUUCAUGUCUCCUUAUGUCAAUUUUCAAUCAGCCAAUUCAUAAUCACUAUUGAUUACCCAACACUUCCCUCACAGUUAAAAUACGCGUGUAGUUGGUUCUCUGUUGAAAUUUGGCUAUUCAUCAUAUUCAGUUACCUCAUCACGGCAACUGAAAAAACUGGCGAUAAAAUUAAUUUUUGCCUCUCUAAAUCAGAUUUAUUAAUUAUUAACUUUCUGCUCAAGUUAAACUUUCACUUAACCCAGCUUAAAAUUGUUUUCAACUCUUCACGGCCCAUCAUUACCAUAAUUAUCAUUUUCAAGACAACCAAUAAAAUGAUAUUAAUGGGAAUGAAGGCUAAAUUGCCAAAUUUUAAUGUUGUUUCAUGUACACUUCCAUAUGUACAGACCUGUGGUUUAUGGUUGCGGUUAACCAUCAGGAAAAGUGAAUAUACUUUAAUCUAAUUACGAGAACAUAUUAAUUGAUAUUUUGCUUUAGCUAAUAAUAAACUGUAUCCAUGCCUCAACUCCAGUUGAAACAAAUUAAAUAUGCUAGCACACUAACGAUGCCUAUAAUACAUUUAUCCUGAUGAUUAUAACAAUGAUUAUGCUGAUUAUUAUGUUGAUGAUUGCGAGUAUGAUUAGGUUGAUGAUAAUUUAAAUGCCUUUGGGCCUGACAGCAAAAAAAAGUGACAAGUGAAAGAGUUGAAAAUCCGAUUCAGAGAUGAUUAUAGUUGGAAGAGGAAAUGAGUGUAUUGAGAUGUUGAUGAAGAGUGGUGACGAUAAAAGUGAAACUGGCGAUCAACUAAUAAAAAAUGACAAAAAAAAGAGAGAUGAUUAAUUCAAUCUGAUCGAUGACGGUGGUUAAUCAGUCGGUUAAAAUGAUGAAACCAGUUAGCAUGGGAAAUAAGAUUGAUUAGGAAUAGCAAGGCUUAACUCUUGUGUGAGUGUAACUAAUGGUAAGACAAACAACGUCUUGUCUUAUAAGGCUUAAUUCAGAGGUAAAUAUCAUCAUUAAUGCAAUAUUAUUAUCAUCUUUUUUUUACUUCUCUCCCUCCUUUCAUGAUCAUGUAAUAUUUAUCAGCCAUGUAAAAGCAGUCAAGACUUAUUUACCCAUAACAUAACAUUCAUUAAACUGCUUGUCUCUACUGUAACACCGGUUUGAUACUUUAAUUAAUCUUAUCUGUUUCAUUCAUCGUUGAUUUAAUCAGUGUUAAGAUAACCAUCCUAGAAAGACUGUUAUUAUUAUGUAUUUACCUACAUUAUGUUGUUGGCAAUCAAGUGAAAGUGGAUAAAUAUUACAUCUACAAUUCAAUAAAAAACAAAAUUGACCAAAUUUAAUGAGAAACUUGAGAUCUAUGAUUGGACUCAUUAAAAAGUACUCUAUGCUGUUUCAUACAAACAACUUAUCGGCUGUUCAAAUCAGGAUUGAAUUAAGUGUACAAUCCAUCAUUUUACCCGCAAGGUAUUAAUAAUAAUGCAAAAUAUUUUAUUGAAUAAGUAUUAAAAAAAAGGGAAAAAAUAAAAUUAAGCAAAAAAUUGAGGUAAAAAUUGAAAGGAGAGGCAACAAUAUUAACUUAUAUCUGUUUUGUGUUUCGCGCUUACAUUUUUGCUCAUAUUUUUCUGCUCAACCAGUUGCUUUCAAUUUGUCCCAAUUUUUAACCAAACUCUUUAAGUUCCUUCUUCAUCAACAUAAAAUUCAUCUUUAGCUUAAAUCAAUAGUGAUUGUAAUUAAUAAGAUAAUUCUAAUUAAUAUUUUCUUUAGUGAUUUAAUUAUAAAGUGUUAGUUAAAUUAGUUGAAAUGGACACCAGAAUAAGUGUAUUCACAGAGACUAAAGGAAAAAUUGGGAGAACUCUCAAGGUCAACCUCAGGUCAGUCAAGGUGCUUCAUAUUUUAGGUUUUGUUAAACCGGAACUAAGUAAAAGGGUCUUCUCUCUUUUGAUAUACUGUGAAAUACUUCCAAAAUUUAUUAAUAAAAGAUAAUCUUACUUAAGAAGAAAAUUCUGAAAAGAAUCAUUCAAAAAAAAGCAUAAAGCUCCAUAUGAUUAAAAAACUGGACAACACCAGUAAAUAAAUAGAAAUUAGUCUAAGAAAUUAGACUAUCUACUGAGAAAAGAUGACAACAAAGUUUAUAAAUCUAUCUGUGGAUGGAAUGAAAGAGGAAUGAAACAUGUAAUAACUGAAUAAGAGUUGGUGAGUGAGAUGAGAAAAGAUUUUCUUUCAGAGGAUGAAAUACUUCAGAUGUCAAAAGAAGGAAAGGAUUGGAACAUGGAUACUACGGAGGGAAAACAAUGGACAAUAUUAACAGAAUGGAUAAAUCUGGUGAUUGGAAGAAUUGAACAAGAGGAUAAAUCAUCACGGAAUUAAACCAAUCAAGAUGAAUGAGCCAAUCAUAAUUCUGGAAUCAAUUGCAAAACCUUAGAGAUAGUACACUAUGUGAUAAUAUUUGUAAUUGAAUAAUUUUCUUGUAAUUAUAACAUUAAUCUAUAAUUUGUACUGAAAUAAGGCCUGAGAAGCCAUGUGACCACACCAGGGGGCAGGACAGACUAUUAGUCUGUAAAACUGUUCAGUCAUUUGUAUUUGGCCUGCUUGUAUUUGAUACACUCUAUUAAAAUCUCAUCUUUAUCAUUAUUUUAAUCAUUUUGGUGAUUCUCAUUCUCGUUUUCAUCAUCUUCAUCAUUAAUGUUAUCUAAAUCAUAUUAAUAAUCAGUAUUUUGCUGAUGUUUCGUCAUCUUUCCAGGUCGUCCAAGCAAUCCUUGGUUAUAGUGCUGCCUGUUGCAUAAGGCCUAAGGGUCUAAUAAUAGACCGAAAGUAAGAGUUAUGCUAAAGUGAUAGGUUUACCAUCAAUUCUGGAAGCGCCUCAACCAUCAACCUCCAAGCAACACCACUUACAAUGAACUACCAGUCAUCUCGCAUGUCAUUAAUCUACGGAACAUGAAACACACAAGACAAUAAGUUGACUGUUGAUUUUCCCAACAGCGCAAAUCUUACGACUCUUUACUCUUGUUAAUAUGCAUCGCUUUGUUUUUCAACCAUCAAAAAGGUAAAAUAAUCAACCAUUUAACAUUUGAUUAUCAACCUCAACACCAUCUUAAUCAUCACCAUAAAAACAAUUAAUUUCAUUAUGAAUAAAUCUUGAAGAUAUUUUUAAUGAAACAACGUAACCUGUUGAUCAUGAAGGGAAUGAGUAAAAGCUAAAGCAUUCCAGUUAUUGAAUUAUCAAGUAAACUCGCUUGGAUAACGGAUAUUUUCACCAUCAUCUCAUUAUCAAUCACUGAUUAAAAAUAGUGGCCGCUUUGUUUUCCAGCUUCUACUCUCAUGAAUAAGAAACAACUAAAAAGCGGUUGAAAGAAAAUAUUAAAAGGCCAAAAUAUUGGGAGUGAGAUUUUAAUUCAUAUUCAUUGGCCUGUUAGGAAGAGCAUUAGCAUGCAACUCGUGAUUACAGGAACUGCUUUUUCCAUCUCUAUUCAUCUUCCAUGAUGUAAAAUGAAAGAGGAUAAAGGAAGAGAAGAAGAAAGAGAAGGAAAGAGAUAGAGAGAGAGGCCAGUUUAAGCUUGAUAAAUUGCUUAUUACGAACAAUCUUCAUUAUCAUUAUUCGCGUUUUUUUCUGCUUUCAUUUUUUCUGGAUAACAACUCUUAGUGAUUUACAGGUUGGGCCAUAGGAGAUGUGCUAGCUUCUUAUCACCUUACAAGGCAUCAUUUUUAUUACAUUAAAUUUAACUGUUUCAACAAUUUG
Molecule: long non-coding RNA, 4454 nt
Organism: Tetranychus urticae (two-spotted spider mite)
Lineage: Eukaryota; Metazoa; Arthropoda; Arachnida; Trombidiformes; Tetranychidae
Source: RefSeq, a predicted model, not a curated record